Long non-coding RNA from Mustela erminea (ermine), 213 nucleotides. RefSeq lists it as uncharacterized. NCBI's taxonomy places the organism in Eukaryota, Metazoa, Chordata, Mammalia, Carnivora, Mustelidae. The record is from RefSeq and is a predicted model, not a curated record. The transcript is spliced from 3 exons.
CCAGGACAUCGUGAAAUUGACAUAGUAAUAGCUGGCUUCCUUUCCAAAUUCUGAUUUCUGAGAGAAAAUUUCAAUUUAAGGUGAUGACUGGACAAAAUCAUUGGUGAUAUAUCAGUCAUUGAGCAGAGAAGCAGAGAGGUGAUAUGAAGCAGCCAGGCAGGCAGUGGAGCAGACAACACUAAAGAGAAAAAGAAACAGACCUGAAGGUGGGGA